This is a long non-coding RNA of Cataglyphis hispanica, 2416 nucleotides long. RefSeq lists it as uncharacterized. The transcript has 3 exons. The record is from RefSeq and is a predicted model, not a curated record. NCBI's taxonomy places the organism in Eukaryota, Metazoa, Arthropoda, Insecta, Hymenoptera, Formicidae.
AUCAUAUUUGUAUAAGAAUUUCAAGUGUGGUGUGUCUCCCGAGUAUUGUAUUUUCUAAGAGUGAUGGAUGUACAAUCGGGAGCUGUGAAAAAGUUAAAAUGCAGAGUAUCAGUUUUCUUUUAAAAUAGAUUGGUAUACGAAGUUUCCCACAUUACAGAAACGCGAAUGACGUAAUCGCAUGACGUUGUCGAUUUACGCUAAAAGUGAGACGGAUCGCGGAUCGUAAUACUGGUUUUCGCGCUUUUUAACGUUUAUUGUUUAUUUUGUUUAUAUUUUUCAAAUGUCGCGUAUUUCUCGAAUAUUAUGUUUCUUUGGCCGCUGGGAGCAGUGGAUGUGUGCAAGUCUUGGAAGCUGCGCGAAAGAUGGAAUAUAAAGCAGCAGGAAGCAGCAAAUGUCGUACGUUUCUCGAGUGUUGUGUUUUUCCGGCCGUUGCGAGCAAUGGAUGUGUGCAGUCGUUGAAGCUGUGGAAAAGAUGGAAUGUAGCAGCAAGCAGAAAGAUCAGUUGUGGCUGGUAAAGUCAAUAAUUCCCAUCAUCCGGAAGAAGCUGCUCUCGGUUAGUCCGAUCUCUUUAACAUGACGCUCUAUCGAAAUGAUCGAGAGGGUUGGUCCACGUCCGAUAGAAGCCACGUUUCAACACAUACACACACAUAUGACGAGGGAGAUUGAGAGAAAGAGAGAGAGAGAGAGAGAGAACGAAUGACAGAGAUCUGUCAGGAGAGCAUAAAUCAAUGAGUUGCUCCUGGAUUGCCCUGGGAGAGAGCGUGUUGCGUUUCCACGGACAGAUAGAGCCGAUGUGCUUUAUUAUGCCGGACACAAUUGCGUGUUGCCUAAGCCACGUGACCGGCAACUUCCGGCCGACGUUUGGGUUCCGCUUCGUGAUGUCCUCGCGCGCGAGCGCGCGAUUUCCCCUGGUCGCUUCACCGCCGGUUUGCCAUCUCCCUUCCCUCCAACCCCCGGUCGGUUCUGGUUCUUUUGCUCUCGACGAUGGGUGACGAUGAUCAUCGCGUGUCGGGUCCACGACAAUGUGACGUGUCGUGACGCUUAUAAGCCUCAACUGUGUGAAACUUACGGUUCAAUGAAACAUAUAAUAUAUAUAUAUAUACGGUUGAAUACAGAGAGAUGAGCCAAGAGAUAUCAAUACGGGGAAAACCGAGCGCUGAUCACUAAUUGGAAUAUCGGAUCCUCAAACAUAUUAUCGUCUUCGAACGUAAAAUUCCCACGCUUACUUCGCGACUAUUGUCCGUAAUUCGCACAAUGGUUCUGCGAGCCUUUUCAACGCGCACGGACGUACGCGAGCGUACGUAGGCGAGCAAAAAAGAAAUUUCGCGUAAUAAAGAGAUCCGAGGGAGUAUGGUGCACCGAAUCGAUUCGUCACGGUGUUCUCAUGUUAAUACCGCGACGGUUCUGCUUCGGUUUUCCAUCGGCGCAGCAUGUCGGGGGAGCCACUACGGGUCGCCAGCACCGGCGUGGCGAAUUCCCCGAGUUUAUCGUCGGGGUGUGUAGCCACUGUGACCACACUAAAACCGAUGUCUGGGCCCCGGGAGGACGGGAACGAAGAUGCGCGCAGGAGACGCGCGAGGGAGACAAAACUUUCCGGCUUUCUCUCUCUCUCUCUCUCUCUCUCUCUCUCUCUCUCUCUCUCUCUCUCUCUUUUGCGGACGUCAUGGGAAUCGUAAAACAUGUUGGAUAAAAACGACUACGCGAAUAUAUCCGCAAUAGUGUCCGUUUUAUCCUAUCCAACUGUGUAUUUCGUGUAGGCGUUUUUCCUCAUUUUUCCUGGAGUGUGGAUCUACACAACGCGGAGAGCAUCGGAAAUAUUAUCUCAUAUGUCACUGGAGAUAAGUGCACUGCUACGUCCGGCCGCAAAUAUUUUGAAAAACAGUAUAGGUAACAUUCGCGCAACAGAAACGAUAACUAUCCGAAAUGACCAAGUAUAUUCGCAAGCCUAAUUCGGCGCAUAAUUAUAAUUAAAUACGAAUUACAUUAAUUACGGUUAUUAUCGGAAUUAUCAGGUGCCGAUUAUAUAUUAUCGCAAGAAUAAAAUAUUCGAUGAUUAUUACUCCAUCGACGCGAUCAAAUUAAAAAUCACACGACAUAUUACUAAUUACAGCAGAAUGAUUUUUCUUAUGCACAUCUUUACGAAGGUAGCUAUCCUACUGCAGGUGUAAUGCUUACGCUCAUUUCGCUUCAUACGCUUUAUAUACCAAAGAAACCUAUCGAAUAUUCAGUUUAUAAAAAUAUGUAUACUCCAAUUGCAGUUCUUUAAUACACUAAGAAAUCUAUAAAUUAUAAAUGACGCAAAACAUCAUCUGAUACAUAAUGCGACUGCAUUUUAUGCGAUAUUUUUUUUUGAGAUAUUCUCUAUAUGAAAAUAGUAUCGCUCUGUUUACAUUGUAUCAAUAACAUCAAACCGUUG